This 1237-nucleotide long non-coding RNA is filed under the name Olea europaea (common olive). Its description in RNAcentral is "long non-coding RNA (OEUR_LNC008170)". The record is from RNAcentral. Lineage: Eukaryota; Viridiplantae; Streptophyta; Magnoliopsida; Lamiales; Oleaceae.
AGCCUUCCAUUCAUCAUAACUCAGAUCAUUCCCGAGCAAUGCAACCUUUCGUCCUUUAACAUAGCUUUUUUCUUUCGACCCGCAAUAUGCAUUUCCAGAAUUUAGACCACACACGAUAGUAAAUACCAUCCAGUUUAGUAUGAAUAGGUGAAGUAUUUUCGUGAAUAGUCAGAGAAAAACACACUUGUCGGAAACGAUCUUAUCAUCGUUAUGAGGCCUAUUGACAGCAAUAUAACGAAGAACCGAAUAGUAUCAACUGAGGAAGAUCCUCAAUCUGUUAGACCUCUGGGGCUUACCAACCAAGAUCAUGGGUCGUGCAACUCUACUCACUGAAGUGUAUCUGACAAUAGUAAGAAUGAUAGAAUGGUCACAAUAAACCCAAUAAGUGAAUAAGGCACCAGAAAUGGCUAACUUGCUCCAAUCUGAAAGUUCCAAGGACGAUUAUGCAAGACUCUAAAACUUUAGGGACAAAUUUGCAAACGAAUUGAUAGUUAAGGAUGGAUAUGCAAGAUUCUCAAACCUCGAGCACUAACUUGCACAAAUAGAAAAACAUGAGAGAGCCCAAUUAGCCCUAAAUAAAAAACCCAAAAAAGGUCCAAGUCCAAAUCAAUAUCGGAUAUCCGAAUAAGACACACUGGAGGAGAAUCAUCGAAUCUUUGACUAGCCGAAAGAGUAGCCCGGAGGUUUGGGUCGAGGAGAAUCCGACAGCCUUGGGUUUGCAAUGAAAAUAUAGAUCGAAGCCUCGCACAUCUCAAACAAACACAAGACCCAUGCUCAUUCUAGGAGCCUCAUGAACAAGGAAGAGAGGUCGCCUAGGCCUCAUUUGCACAAAAGAAGAGGCGUAAGAUCCCAGGUUACUGGAAUAGAGAGUUGCGCAACUUGGCAUUGACGAGCAGAAGCUUGGUGAGUGCUUUGCUUUUUCUACUUGGAGGCUCUUGGUUAGCUUUUUGAUAUACGAAUUUUUCAAAGAAUUGAAUUUAGGAUAUGCACUGAAUCAAACCUAAUUUUUAGAGCGAGAUAGACGGUGGAGAUCGUCGGAAUGAUUUAAAGGGUAGAUUGUCACUCGAGCGAUUUACCAUAGAGGUUUGACGGAGCAAGGGUAGAGGGUCGCCUGAGGAUUCAACCAGGAAAACGAAUUUUAUUGUGAGUUCAACUCGAGAAGGACUAAAACCACUUGGAUACCAACUUAUAAUUUGGGCUUAAUGUCCCUCGAGUGCUACAGCGGACUAGAGUGAGG